UACGGGGGGGGCAAGCGUUGUUCGGAAUUACUGGGCGUAAAGGGUCUGUAGGUGGCUUGCUAAGUCAGACGUGAAAUCCCUCGGCUUAACCGGGGAACUGCGUCUGAUACUGGAUGGCUUGAGUUUGGGAGAGGGAUGCGGAAUUCCAGGUGUAGCGGUGAAAUGCGUAGAUAUCUGGAGGAACACCGGUGGCGAAGGCGGCAUCCUGGACCAACACUGACGCUGAGUGAGCGAAAGCCAGGGGAGCAAACGGG
RNAcentral lists this ribosomal RNA (254 nucleotides) under uncultured bacterium. RNAcentral's name for it is "partial 16S ribosomal RNA". It matches the Rfam family "Bacterial small subunit ribosomal RNA", at positions 524 to 776 of the family's 1533-position model. The record is from RNAcentral.